UGGGGUUUGACCUGGAGUUGGUGGCAAUAGGGAGGGGUCUGUUGAGUCAUGGGGACCCCUCCUUCCCUUUCAUUGUCCCCCCCCUCACACACACACACACAAGCUGUGUGCAGGACUCUCAUCUGACUCUAGCUGCAAAAUGGAGCUGCUCUAGUCUGGAUACCUGGCGGCAGCCCAGUCCCCCACCGACUUGGAGCCGCUUGGCAGAGCUGGGCCUGUUUGCUUCUGCCCCGUGCCAGCGUCCUCCCUGCUGCCGCUCGCUGAGACCGGGGCCAUGUGGGCCCUGCUAGUGCUCCUGUUCCUGAUGCCACCAGGUUCCUCGGCCACUGGGGCCCUGGCUGAGAUGCGUCAGACCCCGCCGCCUGCCGGAACCGGUGCCAGGGCCCAGCUCCCCUCUGCCGCCCAGGGAGCUCUGCCCAAGGCCCCUCUGAUGGCCUCGGAGCUGCUGGCCCGGGGCGCGGACCCCCUGCUCUCCCUCAACCUGGGCCUGAACUUCAAGAUCAAGGUGAAGAGCCAGGGCAGCUUCCAGCCGGCAGGUCCCAGCGCUGAGCCGGCCCUUGCAGACCUGCCCCCGGCCGACACGGCGGACCUGAUCUCCUCUGCUAAUUUCCUGAUGCCCGGCGAGGCCCUGUCCGGCUCGUCCUCCGCCCCCGGCUCAGGGUGGCUGGCGACCGGCUCUGCAGACGAAGCAUCGCGCAGGAGCUGGGGUGAGGCCGCCGCAGACGGGAAUGGCUCCCCAGUUCCUCGAUUCCGCAGCAGCCCCAGGGGCCGCCCGCCGAGCACCACCCCCUUCGAGUCGGAGUUCCUGGAGCUGGUGCCCACGGCCCGACUCUCCUCGUUCCAGCCUGACGUGAUGCUGCCAGCUGCCAGACAGCCCACCCCUGCUAGCUCCCCCCGGGGGCGCAGCCAGGGCCUGGAGUUCCACAUCAACAUUGACCUGACGGCGGGGCUGGACCAGGAGGUGGGCGUGCCUCCCACCCACGUCCUGCCUGCCAGGGGGGGCAAGGGUCCGGGCACCAGGUGGAAGUACCCGCUGCUCCCCAGCCUGAAGGCAGGGAUCUCGGAGAUCGCCAGCAAGCUGGGCACCUCCAGUUUCUUUGGCCCUUCGCUGCCCCCAGACUGGCACCAGGAGAGGAACAGCACAGGUGGCGUCUGGGACCAGCCCCAAGACACCAGCCCCUCUCCACCCCAUGCCACGGAGCCAGGUGAGCUGCUGGGCUGACCCGCCUGUCCUGUGGGGCUGGGGCAGUCCCUACGUGCCCUGGCACCGCGCUGCGCCCCGGAAGCAGCCAGCAGCAGGUCUGGCUCCUAGGCGGGGAUCCCACAGGGCUCCUCCAUGAGCUGCCCCCGCACCCCAGCCCUGAUACACACCCUGGUACUUACCCAGUGCAUGCCCGAUACACACCCCAGUACACCCCCAAUACACCCCGAUACACACCCUAGUGCACUCCGAUACACGCACACUAAUGCACCCCAGCCCUGAUACACACCCCAUACACACCCUGUGCACUCCGAGACACCGAGACACACAGAGUAAUGCAC
Molecule: long non-coding RNA, 1542 nt
Filed under: Gopherus agassizii (Agassiz's desert tortoise)
Lineage: Eukaryota; Metazoa; Chordata; Testudines; Testudinidae
Description: lncRNA (ENSGAGG00000021148.1)
Source: RNAcentral